ACGUAGGUGGCAAGCGUUGUCCGGAAUUACUGGGCGUAAAGCGUGCGCAGGCGGUUUGUUAAGUCUGUUGUGAAAUCCCCGAGCUCAACUUGGGAAUUGCAAUGGAUACUGGCAGGCUGGAGUACGGUAGAGGAAGGUGGAAUUCCCGGUGUAGCAGUGAAAUGCGUAGAGAUCGGGAGGAACAUCAGUGGCGAAGGCGGCCAUCUGGGACAACACUGACGCUGAAGCACGAAAGCGUGGGGAGCAAACAGGA
This 253-nucleotide ribosomal RNA is filed under the name uncultured prokaryote. RNAcentral describes it as "partial 16S ribosomal RNA". It matches the Rfam family "Bacterial small subunit ribosomal RNA", at positions 525 to 777 of the family's 1533-position model. The record is from RNAcentral.